This 376-nucleotide ribosomal RNA is filed under the name uncultured bacterium. Its description in RNAcentral is "bacterial SSU rRNA". It matches the Rfam family "Bacterial small subunit ribosomal RNA", at positions 523 to 898 of the family's 1533-position model. The record is from RNAcentral.
AUACGUAGGUGGCAAGCGUUGUCCGGAAUUACUGGGUGUAAAGGGAGCGUAGGCGGGAAUGCAAGUUAGAUGUGAAAUACCAGGGCUCAACCCUGGGGCUGCAUCUAAAACUGCAUUUCUUGAGUGAAGUAGAGGCAAGUGGAAUUCCUAGUGUAGCGGUGAAAUGCGUAAAUAUUAGGAGGAACACCAGUGGCGAAGGCGACUUGCUGGGCUUUAACUGACGCUGAGGCUCGAAAGCGUGGGUAGCAAACAGGAUUAGAUACCCUGGUAGUCCACGCUGUAAACGAUGAUUACUAGGUGUGGGGGGACUGACCCCUUCCGUGCCGGAGUUAACACAAUAAGUAAUCCACCUGGGGAGUACGACCGCAAGGUUGAA